Solea senegalensis (Senegalese sole) is the source of this 305-nucleotide long non-coding RNA. RefSeq lists it as uncharacterized. The record is from RefSeq and is a predicted model, not a curated record. Lineage: Eukaryota; Metazoa; Chordata; Actinopteri; Pleuronectiformes; Soleidae. The transcript has 3 exons.
GUUCUCUUCAUAUACAGAUCUUAUAUCUCCCUCCUCAGCACAGAUCUAAUUGAGAUGGUGUCUUCAGCACAAGAAACUCCGCCAAACACUCUGUCAAAAUGUUUUCUGUGAGAAAAGCAGCAUCUUUGUUGCUCUGUGUGAUCAGUGUCUGCAGAGGACGUUCACGUUGUAUUCCAUCAUAUUACCAGGCGGGAACUGAGUGCUGUCCGAAGUGUUCACCUGGAGAGUAUGUAAGAGCAGACUGCGCGGAUGAAUCCAGCACUAAGUGUAAUCCCUGUGAAGACGGAACCUUCAACGAUGUUUUC